GGUAAAAUGGCUGAACCUAGGCAGUAAACUGUAAAUUUACUUAUGAAUUAUAACGAUUCUUUUACCA
RNAcentral lists this transfer RNA (67 nucleotides) under Apoderinae sp. 2 AV-2018. Its description in RNAcentral is "tRNA-Tyr". Lineage: Eukaryota; Metazoa; Arthropoda; Insecta; Coleoptera; Attelabidae. The record is from RNAcentral.